This 372-nucleotide small RNA is filed under the name Apilactobacillus kunkeei. Its description in RNAcentral is "cspA". It matches the Rfam family "cspA thermoregulator". The record is from RNAcentral. Lineage: Bacteria; Bacillati; Bacillota; Bacilli; Lactobacillales; Lactobacillaceae.
UAAGGUUACUUGUUUUAUAGUUUUAUGAAAUGACCCCUUGAUUCAGGCUUUUGAUACAUUAAGAUUUUAUAACGCACGAUAUGUGCAAGGAGGUUUCAUAUUAUGAAACAAGGUACUGUUAAAUGGUUCAACGCUGAUAAAGGUUACGGUUUUAUCACUACUGAAGACGGUGACGUAUUCGUUCACUUCUCAGCUAUCAACAAAGAAGGUUUCAAGACUCUAGAAGAAGGCGAAAAGGUUACAUUGGACGUUGAAGACGGCGACCGUGGACCACAAGCUGCUAACGUUACUCCUGCAUAAGGAUAACCUCUUAGUUAACUUUUAGUUUAAAAAGAGAUCAAAAACACCCGAGAUUUUCUCGGGUGUUUUUUA